RNAcentral lists this long non-coding RNA (263 nucleotides) under Lathyrus oleraceus (garden pea). RNAcentral's name for it is "Pisum sativum (pea) long non-coding RNA (PSAT_LNC005992)". Lineage: Eukaryota; Viridiplantae; Streptophyta; Magnoliopsida; Fabales; Fabaceae. The record is from RNAcentral.
UGGAUCUAUGAAAAAUAUUCUCAUCAAUUUUUGAAUUGAUUUAAGAUUUAUUUGAGAUUUUAGUUCAAUUAGGUUAUUUUUAUUCAUUUUUAAUUGAUAAAAAAUAGUUUCUGACUUUAAAAAAUGCUGAAAUUUUUUGUCAAACUUUGUUUGACCUUGUUGAACUUAGGAUAAAUCACUUGGACCUUUCAAGGUUGAUUUGAAGUGAUUUUGAAGUUUGACCUUUCCAUUUUAUUUUAAUUCAAGUUUAUUUUAAUAUUAAA